Paramormyrops kingsleyae is the source of this 1431-nucleotide long non-coding RNA. RefSeq lists it as uncharacterized. The record is from RefSeq and is a predicted model, not a curated record. NCBI's taxonomy places the organism in Eukaryota, Metazoa, Chordata, Actinopteri, Osteoglossiformes, Mormyridae.
CCGCUGAGCUACACAUCGGCCCAUUAAGGGAUGGUUUUGAGUUCCGGAUGGAUAAGUUUUCACAUAGACGCAUAAGUUAUUUGAGGGCUUCCGUGCAUGAGGGCCGUCACGCUUGCAGCCGAAGACGAUGUCAAAGAACGCAUUGUGUUUCUGCCCAUCACUGCAUAUACUGCACCUGUCAACAGGCCUCAACCAUCGGCCAGCUUUACUUUAGUCAGACAGCAGAAGAGAAAUGAAUGGGAGGGACAAUAAAAGGGUAAAGAAUGAGCGCCAAUCAUGGGGCUUAAGCGACCCUGCAGGCUCCGAAAGAGGCCAAGGCAUUAGGGUCAGAGGACGAAGAUGGCGGGGCCUGGAAGGAGGCGCAGAGCGGCUCCCCGUCACCGGGCCGUCCGGCUCGCUGUCGUCCAUCCUGACAGUGAGGAGGUGCGUUUCACAGGGGCUUGUGCGUAGGCGUCCAUGCCUGCGCCUGCCUGGCAGAGAUUGGGGGCCAGCGGCCCGUCGCCACAGUGUUGGCGGCAGCUCUGGGCCAGGGUGACGGUGAACCCCUGUCAGGCGUCCAUUGAAGCCCUCGCCUGCGCCUCCUCAGCCGCCGCACCACACGCACCUACCAUCCCCUUCUGUUCCCGCCGUUUAUUACCCCCCUGACCUGCACCCACAAGAAAGCAUCGUGACAACUUGACAGCAGCGCUGCGGAGAUCCCUCUUACCCACCUACCCACCGGAGAUUUGGCGGGAAGCAGAGAGAGGAAGUGGCAGCAAGCGACAGAACCAAUCGGACGUACUCUUACUGGUAAACAUUACAUCACUGUGUUAUUGUUCUGUGAUCCCAGCUUCACCCAACAGGUUUUCAAAUGCAGUGCGCAAAUUUAAAAAGAUGCUUCUUCAUAUUUUUGCAUCAUGAAUCUCGUCGUCAACCAUCCGUGACUUUGAUGUAGAUAAUAUUUAAUAGAGUAAUAUUUUACUCUUUCUCCUGAAUCAUCUUUGGGGUUUCUUGCAUUUGAGGAACUAGUUACAAACUGUACUGUAGAUUAUAUUGACAGAGCUGUUGUGUAACCUUACAUCCCGUUUGGGGUAAGAAUGGUAGAUCAGGAUUGUGGGAGUAAAACUGGGGGUUUGUUUCUGGUUUGGACUGUGAGCUGUGCCAAUGAAAGGUCAUGUACAUUUGUACAUUUGUACAGGUAUAAUGUAAAUGUUCAUAUCUUUGUGGGGGUGUCUGUUUCUUUAGUAAGUCCCCUCAAAGUGCGUUUCAUUUACAAAGUAACUCCCCACCCUAGAUCUAAUAAUAUGUGCUGUGAAAAUGGUGUUAUUUAGUGUCUUCCUAAUCCGGUAUCUUAUUUGAUUAAUAUUAUUAGCUAACACAUAUUUAAUUCUGUAUCUAAAUACUGAACUUCAUGGUGACUGUAUAUAGAUCAUUAAAACAUAGUGAUCCAUC